This 252-nucleotide ribosomal RNA is filed under the name uncultured prokaryote. Its description in RNAcentral is "partial 16S ribosomal RNA". It matches the Rfam family "Bacterial small subunit ribosomal RNA", at positions 524 to 775 of the family's 1533-position model. The record is from RNAcentral.
UACGGAGGAUGCAAGCGUUAUCCGGAUUCAUUGGGUUUAAAGGGUGCGUAGGCGGACUAUUAAGUCAGUGGUGAAAGCCUGCAGCUUAACUGCAGAACUGCCAUUGAUACUGAUAGUCUUGAAUAGGGUAGAGGUAGGCGGAAUGUGUUGUGUAGCGGUGAAAUGCUUAGAUAUAACACAGAACACCGAUUGCGAAGGCAGCUCACAAAGCCAAGAUUGACGCUGAGGCACGAAAGUGUGGGGAGUCAAACA